RNAcentral lists this ribosomal RNA (520 nucleotides) under uncultured Glomus. RNAcentral describes it as "SSU rRNA". It matches the Rfam family "Eukaryotic small subunit ribosomal RNA", at positions 569 to 1092 of the family's 1831-position model. Lineage: Eukaryota; Fungi; Glomeromycota; Glomeromycetes; Glomerales; Glomeraceae. The record is from RNAcentral.
AGCAGCCGCGGUAAUUCCAGCUCCAAUAGCGUAUAUUAAAGUUGUUGCAGUUAAAAAGCUCGUAGUUGAAUUUCGGGACCAAUUUGUUGGUCGUGCCUCGGUACGUACUGGUAUUAUUGGUUUCUCCCUUCUGAAGAACCUUGAUGUCAUUAAUUUGGUGUCUUGGGGAAUCAGGACUGUUACUUUGAAAAAAUUAGAGUGUUUAAAGCAAGCAUACGCUUGAAUACAUUAGCAUGGAAUAAUGAAAUAGGACGUUUGAUUCUAUUUUGUUGGUUUCUAGGAUCGACGUAAUGAUUAAUAGGGAUAGUUGGGGGCAUUAGUAUUCAAUUGUCAGAGGUGAAAUUCUUGGAUUUAUUGAAGACUAACUACUGCGAAAGCAUUUGCCAAGGAUGUUUUCAUUAAUCAAGAACGAAAGUUAGGGGAUCGAAGACGAUCAGAUACCGUCGUAGUCUUAACCAUAAACUAUGCCGACUAGGGAUCGGAUGAUGUUAAUUUUUAAUGACUCAUUCGGCGCCUUACG